Lotus japonicus is the source of this 994-nucleotide RNA transcript. It is a transcript of the gene named CASP-like protein 2C1, with no coding region annotated. The transcript has 4 exons. NCBI's taxonomy places the organism in Eukaryota, Viridiplantae, Streptophyta, Magnoliopsida, Fabales, Fabaceae. The record is from RefSeq and is a predicted model, not a curated record.
UAGGUAAUACCGCACAGUAUAACACAUGCAGCACCUUACCAUUCAAUAAAUUCCCCCCAAUCCCAAACCAAGCUUAAACCAACAUCUCUACACAAGAUUCACCUCAAGAAAAAUGACAAUGGAACUUGGAAUAGCAAAAGCAGAAGCUUGUCUAAGAGUAACAGCAAUACUGUUCCUAGUAUUAACAACAUGUCUAGUUGCUUUCGAUUCUGAGACCAAGGUUGUCAUAUUGUCCAUUGAGAAGAAGGCCACCUACAAAGACAUGAAGGCUCUCAAGAUCUCUAUGUGGGUUACAUCUGCGGCUGCGGGUUAUAACAUGCUUAUGUUAUUUAAGAACUCUCUGAUCUCAGCUUGUUCUGGAGGGAAUUUCAACGGAUCAUAUUUGUGCAUGGCUUGGAUUUACUUCUUGUUGGAUCAGAUUGCUGUGUACUUGACAUUUGCUGCAAACACAGCAUCAUUUGAAGCGGCGCUGCUGGCAUUAACUGGGUCAGAAGCGUUACAGUGGAUGAAGGUAUGCAACAAGUUCACCAGAUUCUGCGUUCAAAUGGGAGGGGCUCUGUUAUGUGGCUAUGUAGCGUCCAUCUUGAUGGCUCUGAUUUCCACUACCUCAGCCUACAGAGUGUUCAGGAUGUACUCCCCAAAGUGGUUCCUGCGUUUAAAGAGCAAAUGAUCAUUAUCUUUCAGAGCGUGUAUCCUGUGAACUUUGUCAAAUGAAGCAAAAAGUUCAUGAAAGUUUGUGGUAGAUGGACAUAAGGUACUUCUUUCCAUCACAACAAGGAACCAACAGCAAAUCCACUCAUUCUGCCACACUCUAUCAUGAAAUUCAAAGAUUCACUCUCAGAAAUUCUCAGAACCGAACAUGCUUCAUGUUUGUGGGUGGAAUGAUGUACUCCUUGUAGCAACGAAAAUGCUUCAUGCCAAUAUGUCAUUUUUGAAAUUGUAAUUCUAAGCGGAAGUCAAGUCUCUAAAAAUGCGAAUGACCUUAGGAUGGUUA